GACGAACGCUGGCGGCGUGCCUAAUACAUGCAAGUCGAACGAGAGCGACCGGUGCUUGCACUGGUCAAUCUAGUGGCGAACGGGUGAGUAACACGUGGGUAACCUGCCCAUCAGAGGGGGAUAACAUUCGGAAACGGAUGCUAAAACCGCAUAGGUCUUCGAACCGCAUGGUUUGAAGAGGAAAAGAGGCGCAAGCUUCUGCUGAUGGAUGGACCCGCGGUGCAUUAGCUAGUUGGUGAGGUAACGGCUCACCAAGGCCGUGAUGCAUAGCCGACCUGAGAGGGUGAUCGGCCAAAUUGGGACUGAGAAACGGCCCAAACUCCUACGGGAGGCAGCAGUAGGGAAUCUUCCGCAAAGGACGCAAGUCUGACGGAGCAACGCCGCGUGAGUGAAGAAGGUUUUCGGAUCGUAAAACUCUGUUGUUAGAGAAGAAUAAGUGCUAGAGUAACUGUUAGCGCCUUGACGGUAUCUAACCAGAAAGCCACGGCUAACUACGUG
Molecule: ribosomal RNA, 498 nt
Filed under: uncultured bacterium
Lineage: Bacteria
Description: partial 16S ribosomal RNA
Rfam family: Bacterial small subunit ribosomal RNA
Source: RNAcentral